RNAcentral lists this ribosomal RNA (895 nucleotides) under Gliomastix murorum. RNAcentral's name for it is "LSU rRNA". It matches the Rfam family "Eukaryotic large subunit ribosomal RNA", at positions 38 to 963 of the family's 3401-position model. The record is from RNAcentral. Lineage: Eukaryota; Fungi; Ascomycota; Sordariomycetes; Hypocreales; Bionectriaceae.
GCAUAUCAAUAAGCGGAGGAAAAGAAACCAACAGGGAUUGCCUCAGUAACGGCGAGUGAAGCGGCAACAGCUCAAAUUUGAAAUCUGGCCUCUGGCCCGAGUUUGUAAUUUGCAGAGGAUGUUUCUGGCGAGGUGCCUUCCGAGUUCCCUGGAACGGGACGCCAUAGAGGGUGAGAGCCCCGUACGGUUGGUCGCUAAGCCUCUGUGAAACUCCUUCGACGAGUCGAGUAGUUUGGGAAUGCUGCUCUAAAUGGGAGGUGUACGCCUUCUUAAGCUAAAUACCGGCUAGAGACCGAUAGCGCACAAGUAGAGUGAUCGAAAGAUGAAAAGCACUUUGAAAAGAGGGUUAAAAAGUACGUGAAAUUGUUGAAAGGGAAGCGCUCUUGACCAGACUUGCGCCGGUUGAUCAUCCGCCGUUCUCGGUGGUGCACUCUGCCGGCUCAGGCCAGCAUCAGUUCGGUCCGGGGGAUAAAGGCUUCGGGAAUGUGGCUCUCUCCGGGGAGUGUUAUAGCCCGUUGCGUAAUACCCUGGGCUGGACUGAGGUUCGCGCAUCUGCAUGGAUGCUGGCGUAAUGGUUAUCAGUGACCCGUCUUGAAACACGGACCAAGGAGUCGUCUUCGUAUGCGAGUGUUCGGGUGUCAAACCCCUACGCGUAAUGAAAGUGAACGUAGGAGAGAGCUUCGGCGCAUCUCCGACCGAUCCUGAUGUUCUCGGAUGGAUUUGAGUAAGAGCAUACGGGGCCGGACCCGAAAGAAGGUGAACUAUGCCUGUAUAGGGUGAAGCCAGAGGAAACUCUGGUGGAGGCUCGCAGCGGUUCUGACGUGCAAAUCGAUCGUCAAAUAUGGGCAUGGGGGGCGAAAGACUAAUCGAACCUUCUAGUAGCUGGUUUCCGCCG